UGAUUUUACUUGCAUGAAUAAAGCAAACUAUGGAAAUCAGAUCAUUCUAACACCAACAAAUUUAAACAAUCAUGAUUAUAUUGAAAAGAAAAUACUUAUUUGAAAUCUUGUUUAUGAAUUGAACAAAAACAAAGAUAAAAAGGGAAGAAGAAACUCUAGCUGAUUCUGGACUUUCCCGAGGCAUAAACUGCUUGCUCAUUCCUUAAUUCUUCUAUCUUGCUGUCACAACUAAGCCAAAGUUCCCUCAAUAUAGCUGAAAUAUGGCUACUGUCACAACCAUGCAAAGCUCUUUUUCAAGAGGAAGAAAUAGGGAAUGAAAAAGGAAGAAAAGAGAACUCAAGUGGAGAGGAAAUGAAAAGAG
This 361-nucleotide long non-coding RNA is filed under the name Gossypium barbadense (sea-island cotton). Its description in RNAcentral is "long non-coding RNA (GBAR_LNC017778)". Lineage: Eukaryota; Viridiplantae; Streptophyta; Magnoliopsida; Malvales; Malvaceae. The record is from RNAcentral.